RNAcentral lists this transfer RNA (66 nucleotides) under uncultured Sellimonas sp. It matches the Rfam family "tRNA", at positions 5 to 66 of the family's 71-position model. Rfam says of the family: Transfer RNA (tRNA) molecules are approximately 80 nucleotides in length. Their secondary structure includes four short double-helical elements and three loops (D, anti-codon, and T loops). Further hydrogen bonds mediate the characteristic L-shaped molecular structure. tRNAs have two regions of fundamental functional importance: the anti-codon, which is responsible for specific mRNA codon recognition, and the 3' end, to which the tRNAs corresponding amino acid is attached (by aminoacyl-tRNA synthetases). tRNAs cope with the degeneracy of the genetic code in two manners: having more than one tRNA (with a specific anti-codon) for a particular amino acid; and 'wobble' base-pairing, i.e. permitting non-standard base-pairing at the 3rd anti-codon position. Lineage: Bacteria; Bacillati; Bacillota; Clostridia; Lachnospirales; Lachnospiraceae. The record is from RNAcentral.
UCUGUAGCUCAGCUGGAUAGAGCAACGGCCUUCUAAGCCGUGGGUCGGGGGUUCGAAUCCCUUCGG